AUUGAACGCUGGCGGCAGGCCUAACACAUGCAAGUCGAACGCGUGGCGGACGGGUGAGUAAUGUCUGGGAAACUGCCUUAUGGAGGGGGAUAACUACUGGAAACGGUAGCUAAUACCGCAUACCAUCAGAUGUGCCCAGAUGGGAUUAGCUUGUUGGUGGGGUAACGGCUCACCAAGGCGACGAUCCCUCGCUGGUCUGAGAGGAUGACCCGCUACACUGAAACUGAGACACGAUCCGAACUCCUACGGUAGGCAGCAGUGGGGAAUAUUGCACAAUGGGCGCAAGCCUGAUGCAGCCAUGCCGCGUGUAUGAAGAAGGCCUUCGGGUUGUAAAGUACUUUCAGCGGGGAGGCGUUACCCGAAGAAGAAGCACCGGCUAACUCCGUGCCAGCCGCCGCGGUAAUUC
Molecule: ribosomal RNA, 406 nt
Filed under: uncultured bacterium
Lineage: Bacteria
Description: partial 16S ribosomal RNA
Rfam family: Bacterial small subunit ribosomal RNA
Source: RNAcentral